UACUGAGUUUAGGGUCUCUUUUAGAGCCCGAAUCUCCAACCCUUUGUUAAAAACACUUUGUUGCUUUGGCAGGCCCGUCCUAUCCCUUCACCGGGAGACGACCGCCGGGGGCGUUUAGUCACCUCUGGUCAGUGCUUGCCGAUAGCCUAUUAAAAAUUCUUUAUUAAAUAAUGUCUGAAAAAUUAUAACUAAAUAUAAUUAAAACUUUUAACAACGGAUCUCUUGGUUCUGGCAUCCAUGAAAAACGCAACCAAAUGCCAUAAAUAAUGUGAAUACAAAUGACCCCAGAUGCAGCGAGUUUAUACAGCAUACAUCGAAAGGUUUUUGUGGCCCGGCCUUAACGAGAAGCAAUUCUCAAUUUUUUACAGGUUGACCUCGGAUCAGGUAGGAAUACCCGAUGAACUUAAGCAUAUCAAUAAGCGGAGGAAAAGAAACCAACAGGGAUUGCCUCAGUAACGGCGAGUGAAGCGGCAAUAGCUCAAAUUUGAAAUCUGGCUCUUCGAGUCCGAGUUGUAAUUUGUAGAGGAUGUUUCGGGUGCGCCCGCAGUUUAAGUUCCUUGGAACAGGACGUCAUAGAGGGUGAGAAUCCCGUCUUGAACUGUACGGCAAGUCCAUGUGAAACUCCUUCGACGAGUCGAGUUGUUUGGGAAUGCAGCUCAAAAUGGGAGGUAAAUUUCUUCUAAAGCUAAAUAUUGGCCAGAGACCGAUAGCGCACAAGUAGAGUGAUCGAAAGAUGAAAAGCACUUUGAAAAGAGAGUUAAACAGUAUGUGAAAUUGUUAAAAGGGAAGCGUUUGCAACCAGACUUGUUUCUAACAGUUCUACCGCAGUUCUCUGUGGCUUAUUCUGUUAGUCCAGGCCAGCAUCAGUUUGGGUGGCUCGUUAAAGGCCUUGGGAAUGUAUCUACUCCUUCGGGUGUAGACUUAUAGCCCUCGGUGUAAUAGGGUCUACCUGGACUGAGGUACGCGC
Molecule: ribosomal RNA, 967 nt
Filed under: Phaeomoniella sp. 11345
Lineage: Eukaryota; Fungi; Ascomycota; Eurotiomycetes; Phaeomoniellales; Phaeomoniellaceae
Description: eukaryotic LSU rRNA
Rfam family: Eukaryotic large subunit ribosomal RNA (bases 371-967)
Source: RNAcentral